Long non-coding RNA from Centrocercus urophasianus (Greater sage-grouse), 1257 nucleotides. RefSeq lists it as uncharacterized. Lineage: Eukaryota; Metazoa; Chordata; Aves; Galliformes; Phasianidae. The record is from RefSeq and is a predicted model, not a curated record. The transcript is spliced from 2 exons.
UCUCCUCUCUCGCUUCUCUUUAUUACUUUCCCUUUGUUAUUCCUCAGUUAAGAAAGCAACAGGGAGAGUUUAUGUUGCAGCUAACAGCAGUACAAGGUUCUAUGACUUCAACCAUCUAAUCUGUCAUGAUGACGUUUGGAUUAGAGGACAGAGUUGUUCAGAGUUCACUUUACACAUAGCAGCCUCCUAGCAGGAUUUGUAAUACAGAUACAGUCAAGACCCAAAAAAGAACUUCCUCUUCUCCCCAUUGCAACCUUCCUAAGAUAGAGAACACAAAAACACUCUAAAAACUCUCAAAUAGGUGUAUGAGUGGAUAAAGACAUGGAGAGGAAGAAAUUAAUGACGUGUGAACUGAGUCUUUCUAACUGGGCUCAAAGCCUUUGACUAGAUUAGCCACACCUUUGCAGGAUAGCCAGCUGUUAAACAUUUACUGCAGUACAAAUAGGUAAUUUCCAUGCUAAUUCUACAGCUAUCCAGGUGUAGCAAAGUGAUCUUUGCUAGGUUAAGAUCUUUUCAAACAGGUGAAGAAGAGGCACCAGAAGAACUGCCUGCUGCAAACUCAACAGCUUCAGCAGGGUGGAAGGCACCAUGUCACCAAUACAAGAGAAAUCCUCAGCUCUGGAAGACCUCAGGAGUCGGAUUGAAACGAGUGACUGGGCUGUUGCAGGGCUAGUGGUGAUUGGCAUCUUCUGCCUUGUUAUUGUUGCUUUCUUCUUAAUUGCAGCCACCUAUGGGUGCUGCUCAUCGCCAAGACACAAACGGACUAGGGCAUGAAUAGUGAAACUGAGGAGCAGUAUUCGGAGCUCUGCAUUUAAGCAAGAAUCAGCCCAGCUGCAAUACGGUGUUCUCAUCUUCUGUCCUCAGGUGGUUAUUUUUCCCCAUACAGCUUUCCCAGAGCAAUUCACCUAUGCCAGCACAUUGUUCUGCAAGUCCAGAGCAAACUCCACAGCAGGCAAUCUGUAUUCAGGAAGCAAAUGAGGACUCUGGCAUUUUGUUAAUUACCUCUCUGCCUGAUUUUUGUCUUUCAAGCAAAACCACAGGAUAGACUUGCUGAGCAGUCAGCAACUACCUGGAAACCAAGAAGAUCUCUUCCACUACUGCAAUUACUUGUUUGUUUCUUCUAUUCUGCAAAUGGGCAUUAGGAAACUGACUACAGCUUUGUCUGAAUCAAUUCUCUAAAAGCAGUUUAAACAGUUGUUCUCCUAUCAUACUCAAACAAUAGCCUAAAUACACUGCAAAAAUUUGCCUGCCAGAAUA